This 495-nucleotide ribosomal RNA is filed under the name uncultured bacterium. Its description in RNAcentral is "partial 16S ribosomal RNA". It matches the Rfam family "Bacterial small subunit ribosomal RNA", at positions 28 to 507 of the family's 1533-position model. The record is from RNAcentral.
GACGAACGCUGGCGGCGUGCCUAAUACAUGCAAGUAGAACGCUGAAGGAGGAGCUUGCUUCUCUGGAUGAGUUGCGAACGGGUGAGUAACGCGUAGGUAACCUGCCUGGUAGUGGGGGAUAACUAUUGGAAACGAUAGCUAAUACCGCAUAAUAGCAGUUGUUGCAUGAUAACUGUUUGAAAGGUGCAAUUGCACCGCUACCAGAUGGACCUGCGUUGUAUUAGCUAGUUGGUGGGGUAACGGCUCACCAAGGCGACGAUACAUAGCCGACCUGAGAGGGUGAUCGGCCACACUGGGACUGAGACACGGCCCAGACUCCUACGGGAGGCAGCAGUAGGGAAUCUUCGGCAAUGGACGGAAGUUUGACCGAGCAACGCCGCGUGAGUGAAGAAGGUUUUCGGAUCGUAAAGCUCUGUUGUAAGAGAAGAACGAGUGUGAGAGUGGAAAGUUCACACUGUGACGGUAUCUUACCAGAAAGGGACGGCUAACUACGUG